Molecule: ribosomal RNA, 253 nt
Filed under: uncultured bacterium
Lineage: Bacteria
Description: partial 16S ribosomal RNA
Rfam family: Bacterial small subunit ribosomal RNA
Source: RNAcentral
UACGUAGGGGGCAAGCGUUGUCCGGAUUUAUUGGGCGUAAAGAGCGUGUAGGCGGUUUGGUAGGUCCGUUGUGAAAACUCGAGGCUCAACCUCGAGACGCCGAUGGAAACCAUCAGACUAGAGUCCGGAAGAGGAGAGUGGAAUUCCUGGUGUAGCGGUGAAAUGCGCAGAUAUCAGGAGGAACACCGGUGGCGAAGGCAGGUCUCUGGGCAUUAACUGACGCUGAGGAGCGAAAGCAUGGGGAGCGAACAGG